UAACUCUGCGCCACUGUUGCGGAGGAAGGUAGCAGACCGGGCCGAGCAAUCUAGACGGGGAGGCAGCGGGAGCGUGCGAGACUGUGCGGCGAGUCGACUCAGUCAAUCCGAGUCAGCGAGUCGGGCCGGGCAAGCUCUCAGUGGUGCCGUGGACCCGCGAGUGGAAGGACGUCUACCGUACCUCAAUGUCCCCUUCUCGCCUGCUCCAAGACUUCACUACGGCGUUGACAUCGGCCUUGAAGGAGUCUCGGUGAUCGGCAAGGAGGAGGAAAGGAGGUCUGAGGAACAAUAAGUCAAAUUUCCUCUGUUUGGUGGCCGCGGUGCUGCUGACGAAGGAAUCGGGUACAAAGGACACAAACACCAAGGUUGAGACUGUGUAAGGUGAUACUGUGAACAAAACAAACCCCGAAAAAACAGACACAAAAUAACACCGAGGUCAACACACACGCAGUGAUCCCAACGAGGCCGAGAACAGUUCCCGGCGUGCCGGUGACCGCAGGGCGCCAUGGACCCCGCCAAGAUCCUGCAGAUCAUCACCAACAGCACCUGGAUGGUGACUCGUCUGGUGGGCAGCGACCCCGUGGAGUUCGAGAAGCAGCAAUACCUGGUGGAGGUGCCCGAGAACACGGCCAGCGUCCCCUUGCUGCGCCUCACCGCCAAGGUCACGCCGCCAGGGAGAGCCGUCCAGUUUGGGAUCAAGUCGGGCAACGAGGGCGGCUACUUCGGCCUGGAUGGUGGCAGUGGCCAGCUCUCCCUCGUCCGGCCGCUGGACUACGAGGCUGAGACACAGCACGUGCUGGUGGUGGAGGCUCGGGCGGAGGAGGGGAGCAGCGAGGCGGUGGUGGUGGUGGCGGUGAAGGACGUUAACGAUCACGCCCCCGCCUUCCCGAGAUCGGCCCUCCUCAUGCAGCUGACGGAAGGCGAUGGCCGACACCUCCCCAAACCCAUCCUGAAGGUGACGGCAACGGACGGCGAUAAGGGAGAGUUUGGCCGUCUUUAUUAUAGCCUCUCCGGUGAUGGCGUGUCCUCCUCCUCCUCCUCCUCCUCGUCGUCGUCGUCCACGCCCGCCGCCACUCUCGCACCGCCGCCCAGCUUCGCCAUCGACCCCUCCAGCGGCGACAUCCUCCUGCUCAGGCCUCUGGACCGGGACCCCCCAGACGGACGGGCGGUGUGGCGUCUGCUGGUGACGGCCACGGACGGCGAGCUGCGGGCGUCCAUGAGCGUCACCAUCAACCUCAAGGACGUGAAUGAUAACGCGCCGCACUUCCCCGAGCCCCACGUCACCGUCACCAUCCCUGAGGACGCCCCGGAAGGCACUUCCGUCGUGCAGGUGUCCGCAAUGGAUCUGGACGACCCUUUGGAGGGCCACAACGCACAGCUCGUCUACUCCCUGGAGAGGAACGUAGUUGAGGCGGCCUCGGGGAGUCCUAUCUUCGCUGUUGACCCUCGGGAAGGCCUCGUCACGACCACGAUGUGUUGUCUGGACCGGGAGAAGACCGAGAGCUACGUGCUUCAUGUGGUGGCGACUGACGGCGGGGGGCUCAAAGGUACCAGCACAGUGCAGGUGAAGGUGAGCGACGUGAACGACGAGGCCCCGCGUUUCUCCGUGGCCGAGUGGUUCCUGGACGUGAGGGAAGGCCACCCGCCGGGCCACCCCAUCGCCUCCCUCAGCGUCAUCGAUCCGGACACCUUCAACGACUUCGCCUUCAGGGUGGUGCCGGGCAGCGGGCCGGGGUGGGAGCUCUUCACGGUGGAGGCGAGUGGCGGGGGGACCGAAAACGACACCGAGAAGACGACAACGGAUGAGAAAACUAAAUCCAAUAACGUUAAGAAAGAGCAAGUACCUGAGAGUGAGGAGACGGCCACCAGAGUAAGCGAAGAAAAGAAAACCGGUGGCGGGAGAGGCGGCGCCCGGAUGGAGCUGCGAGCCGAGAGGGAACUUGAUUACGAGACCCCGGAGCACCAGCAAGGCUUCAGGUUCCGCGUGCAGGUGACGGACAAGGGGGCGGAGGGCUGGAGCGAGCGGCGGAGGAUCGGCAGCGCCUGGAUCAACAUCAACCUGAUAGACGCCAAUGACAACACGCCCACCCUAGCCAAGGACCACGCCCACCGCACCGUGCCGGAGGACGCGCCCCAAGGCAUGCUGCUGGCCACAUUCGCCGCCACCGACGCAGACGGGGCAGGCCGCGGAACCAUGCACUACGCCAUCAGCCCGGCCAGCGACCCCGACCACCUCUUCCACGUGGACGCGGCAGGCGCUGUGCGGGUGGCGGGCGGCCUCGACAGGGAGAAGACCCCCGCCCACACCCUGCUCGUGUGGGCGGCGGACGACGGCGUGCCGCCCCAGACUGCCACGGCCACCCUCACCGUGACCGUCACGGACGUCAAUGACAACCCUCCUUUUCUGAGCGACCCGGAGGAAGGUGUGGAGGUGGAGGAGAACGGCGGUGCCAAGGUAGUGGCGAGGGUCAAGUUGGGUGACGCUGACGACUGGCGGCUCGGCCACGGCCCGCCCUUCAGCCUCGCCCUUGACCCCCAGGCCCCGACGCACGUGUCCUCCCUCGUCAAGGUGGAGUUUGAUCCCAAGGGGGACGACGGGCGGGGCGUGGGCGUGGUGUGGGUGCAGGGGCCAUUGGACAGGGAGGAGAGGAACGCCCUGCUGGUGCCCCUGGUGGUGGGGGACGCCGCGCCCCAGCCAUGCACCGCCACCGUCACGCUCACCCUCACCGUGGGGGACCAGGACGACAACCCCCCCAUGCCCGCCGCCAAGACCGUCGUGGCGCAUGUGCUGAAGCAGGGAGAUGUCAGUGGGAGGGUGCCGCUGGGCCGGGUCUUCGUCAAGGAUCCCGACGAAAGAGUGGAGGAGAGGACCUACGCGUGGAGGGUCCCGCCGUCCUUCCAGGGCUUCACGCUGCACCCCGCCACCGGACACCUGGACAUGGCCCCCGCCGCGCCGCCCGGUCGAUAUGACCUUCAGUUCGAGGUCAUCACGCCCAGCCAAGGUCGGGUCGCCAUCCCGGCCAACGUCAGCAUCUUGGUGGAGCAGGUGACCUCAGAGGACGUCGCCAGCGCCGUACCCCUCACCCUCCCGGCGCCGCCCAGCCGAGUGAUAGGUACAUCCGUUCUUCACAAGCUGGUGGAGGCUGCGCAAGCGUAUCUUGGCCUUCAAGAGGGCGGUGUGAGAGCCAUGACACUUCAGGCCGGGAACCAAGGAGCAGCCCAGCCUCACGACACAACCCACGUGUGGCUUGUUGGUCCCGACGCCUCGGCCCUUCACCACUCCCUCCUCUACCGCCGAGAACAGCUGAGCCACACCCUGGGCGUGGGUGUGGUGGAGGUGGGGGUGGGUGAAUGUUUGGUGACGGACAGCCCCUCCCCCCACCUCGAGCUAUGUGACGAGGAGCGUGUGGGCGGCUACAGUGUGGUUGACGCAGACUCGGUGGCUGUGGUGGGGCCCAGGAUGAGGUUUGGCUUUGGAUGUGGCUGUGAGUGUGGCCGCCGCCGUGGGUGUGAGCGGUGCGCCCUGUCGACCGCCCCGCCCACCCACACCUGUACGGAGCGUUCCUGCCUCAACGGUGGCCGCUGCUACCCCACGACGGAGGGUGUGAGGUGCGCGUGUCCUCUAUCCACCGCCGGCACCACUUGUAAGGUUUUCAUGCGACACUUCCGAGGAGAAGAAAACACAGGCGGGUGGGCCUGGGUUGCCGCCAUCCCGCCGUGCCCGGAGGUCCAUAUAUCCCUGGAGAUCCUUACCGCGUCACGGGAGGCUAUCUUGCUGUACUCGGGCCCCGACCACGUGGCCCCCAUGGCUCCCCUCCCCGAGGCCGGGGCGUCUCGGGAAGUCCUGCUGCUGGAGCUGCGGGGCGGCAGACCCUUCCUGAUGCUGGAUCUGGGCGACGGCACCGUCACUCUCUCCCUCACGGCUUCCUACUCCCUCGCUGACUCCACGUGGCACAGAAUCGACGUGAUCUGGAGAGAUGAGCUGGUGGAGAUGGUGGUGGACCUGUGCUCGGGAGGCGGGGUUGACGGACCCUCCACACACGUAACAGACGACUCCACCACCACAAUGCCGCCUCUCUUUGUGCCCCCGGACGCCCACACGUGUCGCGGCGCCGACAGACUACCGGCCGCCGCACGCUCACUCAACUACCUGAGGCCCCUGCAGGUCGGGGGUCUGGCCCACCCGGCGCCCGCACACGACACGUACGGCUGGCCCGAGCCCAUCAAGGCCCGCCAACUGAAGGGCUGCAUAAGAAAUCUGAGGGUGAACGGUGAGCUGCGGGACCUUGGGCAGGGCGUCCUGAGUAGCGGCAGUGUCCCCGGCUGUCCUGCGGCAGAGUGUCCUUCCAACAGCCUCAACUGCGGCCUACACGGGAGGUGUCAGGUGUUAGACGGGGCGACACGCUGUGAGUGCACUUCGGGGUGGGCGGGGCCGGAGUGCUCCAUGCCCACGACGCCGUCCACCUUUCACCUGCAUAGUUUUGUUAGGCUGGCCCUCUCCUUCUCGCCCCUCGGCUACACCACGUCUGUCAGCCUCAGGUUCAGGACGCGGCAGACUGACGGUGACUUAGUGAUGCUCUCGUCAGGGGGCGGCGACCGUUUUGGUGUGCAUCUGCUGCGUGGGCACGCGUGUGUUCUGCUGCAGCUGCACCCGGCCGCCCCCAGAACGCUGUGUCUUGUCCAGGUGAGGCUGACAGACGGUCAGUGGCACCAGCUCCACGCGGCGAGGUACGGGUCAGCCACUUUCCUCACGGCCGACGAAGGGGACGGCGACCUGUACAACGCCUCGAUCUCCCUGGAGGGUCGGCAGCUGCUGCAUCUGGACUGGGAGGCCGGGGUGGUGAUCGGGGGCACGCCACACAGCGGGGGAAACGCUGAAGCAGCAUCACAGCGGGACUUCCUCGAGGGUUGCCUUGAUGACGUGAGGAUCUCCGGCCGCCCCGUCCCGCUGCCGCCCAUCCUCAACAAGACGGCGUGGGGCUACGUGAGCGAGGCGCGGGGCGUCGGGGCGGGCUGUGAGGCUCCCCAGGCGUGCCACAACGUCACCUGCCGCUCACCACUCACCUGUGUUGACACCUGGAGGUCGUACCACUGCACAUGUGACGAAGGUCGAGUAAUGUCAGAGGACGGCAGCAGGUGCCUCGCCCUGAAUCCGUGUGCCUGGAACCCCUGCCUGCACGGGGGAACCUGCCUCCCCACUGACACAGGGUUCACAUGCAGCUGCUCGUCGGGGUUCGCCGGGCAACACUGCCAACUGCCGGUGCCUGGCGCGGCCUCCCUCAGACUCUCCCUGCCCGGCCUCCUCGCCCUGCUCGUGUGCAUCCUUCUCCUCCUCCUAGUGUGUGCCUUCCUCCUGCACCAACACCACCGCCGCUCGGCACUGCGUCGGGGAGCAGGAGACGGCAAGGAGUCCACCACCCCAGUCGGGACCAAAGGGCAGAUGUCUCCGUCACACCCAGGCAGCCAUUCACCUUACCUCCUGGAGCUCCGGCCCAUCCCUCCCACAAGAGUUAACGGCCAGCUGGCGACGAGCACCUACCCCAACAUAGCAGAUGAUAUUCUUCCGUUGGCAGAUGUCGACGUUCUACAAGUGGACGCAGCAUCCAUUACAAGCAGUGUCGAAGAGCAGCAGCAGAUUCAGCUGUGGGGCUGCCUUGGUAGUCAGGCAGAAGGCGAGGGAGGCGGUGGUCCUGCAGACAAACGGGAGGAACAGAGUGUACGUAAUGAUCCAAGAACCUACGCCCACGAGAGGGGAGGCUCGUUUCCUGGUUCAUUGUCAUCCGUUCAAAAGGCUGCCACUGGGAACCCCAGAGCCUAAGUGAUAAACACUAACGUGAAUGUCAAGAUACGAUCAGUCUUCAAAAGGCAAAGAAUCCUGAAAAGGCAAAAUGCUUGCAAAAGAAAAGAGGUCAAGAAGGAAACAAGGAAUAAAAUUGCAUACAGGGGACAAAUAUCAUCACCAGCAGUCCCCUUCCCCUUCCCCUUUCAACACGAACCACAGAAGCUCUGGCCGCCAUGCAAAGCUACAAAGUGACCACCAAUGAACUGAACACGAACAAGAAAUCUCUCCAGUAGUCACAAUCAGUCUGACGAUUGUCAAUGAAGCUGACCUAUGACACCUUCAGCAACACUCACCCACUUUUUACAUGCCCACAAUAUACACUGCUAACCAUAGUUGUCUAGACACAAAUCUAAAGCUGAAAAAGAUGUCACAAAAUUCACACU
Eriocheir sinensis (Chinese mitten crab) is the source of this 6225-nucleotide RNA transcript. It is a transcript of the gene named putative neural-cadherin 2, with no coding region annotated. NCBI's taxonomy places the organism in Eukaryota, Metazoa, Arthropoda, Malacostraca, Decapoda, Varunidae. The transcript is spliced from 31 exons. The record is from RefSeq and is a predicted model, not a curated record.